This 468-nucleotide ribosomal RNA is filed under the name uncultured bacterium. RNAcentral's name for it is "partial 16S ribosomal RNA". It matches the Rfam family "Bacterial small subunit ribosomal RNA", at positions 28 to 507 of the family's 1533-position model. The record is from RNAcentral.
GACGAACGCUGGCGGCGUGCUUAACACAUGCAAGUCGAACGGAAAGGCCCUGCUUUUGUGGGGUGCUCGAGUGGCGAACGGGUGAGUAACACGUGAGUAACCUGCCCUUGACUUUGGGAUAACUUCAGGAAACUGGGGCUAAUACCGGAUAGGAGCUCCUGCUGCAUGGUGGGGGUUGGAAAGUUUCGGCGGUUGGGGAUGGACUCGCGGCUUAUCAGCUUGUUGGUGGGGUAGUGGCUUACCAAGGCUUUGACGGGUAGCCGGCCUGAGAGGGUGACCGGCCACAUUGGGACUGAGAUACGGCCCAGACUCCUACGGGAGGCAGCAGGGGGGAAUAUGGCCCAAUGGGCGGAAGCCUGAUGCAGCAACGCCGCGGGCGGGAUGACGGCCUUCGGGUUGUAAACCGCUUUCGCCUGUGACGAAGCUUGAGUGACGGUAAUGGGUAAAGAAGCACCGGCUAACUACGUG